RNAcentral lists this transfer RNA (68 nucleotides) under Loris tardigradus (slender loris). Its description in RNAcentral is "tRNA-Trp". Lineage: Eukaryota; Metazoa; Chordata; Mammalia; Primates; Lorisidae. The record is from RNAcentral.
AGAGACUUAGGUUACAACUAGACCAAGAGCCUUCAAAGCCCUAAGCAAACAGCUAUGUUUAGUCUCUG